GGCCUUAUGGUCUAGUCGUAUGAUUCUCCCUUUGGGUGUUCUUCAGGAACGCAAUUAUGGGAGAGGUCUCGGGUUCAAUUCCCGAUGAGGCCC
Molecule: transfer RNA, 93 nt
Filed under: Puccinia triticina
Lineage: Eukaryota; Fungi; Basidiomycota; Pucciniomycetes; Pucciniales; Pucciniaceae
Also listed under: 1 other name
Description: tRNA-Pro
Source: RNAcentral